CCUCCGAGCCUCUUCCUUGUCACCACCGGUUUCGCUCUAAAAUGUCAGGGAUAGAGAUGCUCCAUUGGAUGUUCGUCGGUGCCGGAGGAGCUCUGGGUCACCCACUGCCCGAUUCGCCUACUCUCGAUAUCUCAGAACAGGUCUACAUCUCCUCACUUGCGUUGUUGAAGAUGCUUGAGCACGCUAGGGUUCCCGGAGGUGAUGGGCUUGAUGCUGGGAGAGUUUGUGGAUGACUAUAUUAGUUAAAGUUGUGGAUGUGUUUGCUAUGCCUCAGAGUGGUCGGAUGGAACUUGGGGAACUGUUAAAAGAAGUUGCACUAUAGUUAGAGACAUUGCAGACUUGUGUUACCAUUCGUAUCCACUAUACUUGAAAGAGUUGCACGAAUCCCCUGCUUCAGAAGAAGUUCGUACUUUAAGGUAAUCGUAUUUAAAUGAGUACUCUGGUGAUACAUGCUGGAGAAAAUGAAUAGAGUUAGACUGUUAUGUAAUCUCAGAUAGGCUAAGUGGUUUUCUUAGGAGAUGUCUUGUAGGUUGAUUCAUAUACCAGCAUGUAUACUAGUUGGUGUUUUGGGGCUAAUGGUGGCGAUUCCUCUUUACACUGUAAUUGUUGUUGUGAAGAGUCCAUAUAUGUUGUUUAAAGGCUGGUAUCGACUUAUCCACGAUAUGAUUAGUCGAGAAGGACCAUUUCUUGAAGUAGCUUGCAUCCCAAUUGUUGGUUUGAUAAUCCUUAUAUGGCCAAUUGUGGUUAUUGGAAGUAUCAUACUCACAGUUGUCUCCAGUAUUUUUGUUGGAUUAUAUGCAGUAGUUGUAGUAUAUCAGGUUUGCUCUUAGUAAACUAUGAUCUUUUUUUUGCUCUCUCUUUUGCUUUCCAUGAUAAAUGAAAUGAUGUAUUCUCUAACAAUUGAUGAAUGAAGGAAAGAUCUUUCACGAAAGGUGUGACCUACAUGAUCGUAAUUGUUGCCGAGUUUGAUGAGUACACAAAUGACUGGUUAUAUCUUUCAGAAGGCACAACCUUUCCGAUGUUAGUAAAAUUUACUUCAAUAUAAAAGCUAAAGCUGACGGGAAACCAAUGCUACAUCUUGCUAGAUUUGGUGCCUUUUUCUAUGGUAAAUAUUAACAAUAUCAAUCACAUUUUGUGCAGUUAGGCCCCAUUAUCAAAAAAGAGCUGUCUCUCAAUUAUCAUAGCUUUCUGUCUGAGGAAGGCGAGCAGCUAAAGGUAAGCUCAUAUUUGCUCCAAUGGAGGCACGUGCGAUGCAUAUGCCAAGUUUGGUCAAUUCCAGAUCAGUUAGAGAAGCUAUACAUGAAGUAAAAAUGGUGCAAGUAUGCUUUAUAGUUCAUUGGUUUAGUUGCAAUGGUGUAUGCAUUUAAUUUCUAUCAAAAGAGCUAAUUUAUAACUAGCUAGGGAUGCAAUUUGGCUGUUGCACAUUGUUGUAAUUUGGCUUGCUCAUGUUAGGAGGUAUUUGAAGUUCGAGAUGAUUUUGUUCUAAUUUAUGAAACCAUAUU
Long non-coding RNA from Argentina anserina (silverweed cinquefoil), 1502 nucleotides. RefSeq lists it as uncharacterized. NCBI's taxonomy places the organism in Eukaryota, Viridiplantae, Streptophyta, Magnoliopsida, Rosales, Rosaceae. The record is from RefSeq and is a predicted model, not a curated record. The transcript has 3 exons.